AAUAAGUGUAGUUUUAUACUAUUCAUCUCCAACGUUUAACCGUUCGUCUUAUUUGAAAUUUUUUUAUAAUUACUAUUUUUAUUGUUAUUAGAUGAUAAAACAUGAAUAGUACUUUAAGUGUGGCUAAUUUUUUUAAAAAAAAAAUCAUAAAUUUUUCAAAUAAGACGGACGGUCAAACGUUGGAUACGGAUUUCCACGGCUGCACUUAUU
Non-coding RNA from Oryza barthii, 210 nucleotides. Lineage: Eukaryota; Viridiplantae; Streptophyta; Magnoliopsida; Poales; Poaceae. The record is from Rfam.